This is a long non-coding RNA of Mustela lutreola (European mink), 1768 nucleotides long. RefSeq lists it as uncharacterized. Lineage: Eukaryota; Metazoa; Chordata; Mammalia; Carnivora; Mustelidae. The transcript is spliced from 3 exons. The record is from RefSeq and is a predicted model, not a curated record.
UUAUGCCAACAAAUACUUGUUUCCUAAGUCAUUGUGGGGUAUCUAAAUGAGCAAUGGAAGAGCACACAGGCAGAAGGCUGGCCACUAGAGAAGACGUCACAGGGAGCUAAAACCUAAGCCUGACCUUGGGGUAUCGUCAGCGAGGGGAGGAGACAUUUCAAGCGACAGGACUGGCAAAAGCGAGGGAAGUUCAAGAGAUAAAGAUAAGGCAGUUAUUGAUGUACCCGGGAGAACUUUCCGUGCUCAUCCAGAAUAUUCUCGGUCGUACGGCGUUCUAUGAUUUGCAAACUGAGGCUCAGAGUAGUAAGCCGAUGUGCCAACAUCACCAAGCCAUGAAGUGGCAGAACCAGAACUCAGACCCAUUCAGACUCCAAGCUUGGGGUCUUCACGUGCUGGAGCCACAGCCGCCAUCCCAAAUCAAAAGAGGGAUUCCCUAGGAAAACUGAUAUACGGAUAUACACUGUGAUCCAACACCCCAUAGAAAGAGGAAGAUCAUCAGUAAGUGGGUGAUGAAUACUGCUGCUUGGUAACCGACUCCAAAGACCAAAGGGUACCCUCAUCCCAUGGGUCCCUGCCACUUGCAUUGAAGUCUGUGCAAACCUCUGCUUUUCAGGUCGGGUUCUCUCUCCCCACCCCUACUUCUGUAAUUACGCCGUAAUCCGAGAAGCUUGUUUGGUUUCCCACUAAUGACAGUUUCCUGUUUUUGAGGCUCCAAGGCACAUCAGGUGACAGAUCAUACACAGUUCUUAUUUCCAUCCCUUUAUUAGGCAGGGAUACUAUUGUGUUAGCACAAAUAUUUUCAUUGUGCCUUCAAAAUGACAAGGUAUUCAAGAUUACUCCAGCUAAUAGGAUGUCACAGGAGUUUGUGAGAUUAAUGACCAAACCUGUCUGACAAGAAUAAUAGGGUUUUUGAAAAGAGGAAAGCAAUCGGUCUCUACCGAUCAGCCUUUCAUAUGUUUUUACCUCGGGAGCAUAUUCUACUGCCUUGAAAUGAGGAAUUCUAUCAGUUCUUAUUACCUUCUGCAAAGAUUUGUCGCAUAGUCCUGUGAGGGGCACGCUAGACGUGCAUAGUGAUGAGGCAUUUACUUUACAUUUUCAGAGUGUGGAAAUCUAUUGAACUCCAGCCCAAAUUGGCAACCUAUGCGAUAUAAUAUUGCUGUUGAAUAUUUAAUGUCUACACUGAAAAUACGAAGGACAUCUCUGACUCUGUCAGGGGUCAAGAAUAGUGGAAAUAUAUUCUGAUUAACUUAUGACAUUUACAAACAGGAUUAGUCUUUCUUCUUCCAGAAUCAAUUAGCUCCAACUCCCCAUGGCCCAUGAAGACAGCCAAGGAGAGCUGGCGGCUGCAACCCACAGCAGGUAUUUCUGUGUUGGUGCUUGGGAAAAGCUAGAUUUACAACUUUCUGAUCUUGGUUCCUCUCCAGUGUCUCUCCUUUAUUAUUUCAGUGGGCCACCAACAGUUUUUGCUACCAAGAAACAAGUACUUACUGCAGAGCUGAGAGGGAAAACUGGCCAUUCUUUUUUUCUAGCUUCAGCUGGGCCUUUGUAGGACUUGCCACAAAAGCUUGAUCUGCACAUUAGAACAGGACUCAGCAUGGCGGCUACAAGUUAAUAAGUGCCCAAAUUAUGAAAACUGCCUUGUUACUCAACUAUACUGGUUUGGGAAUACCAGUGUUUGAACCAGCCUUACAAAUACAAACCAACACAUGCUUUGGCUCAAUGAAGUUGUUCUUGAUUUAGAAGGUAAAUAUCACUUUGUUAAUUCAGU